Molecule: non-coding RNA, 22 nt
Filed under: Mus musculus (house mouse)
Lineage: Eukaryota; Metazoa; Chordata; Mammalia; Rodentia; Muridae
Source: RNAcentral
UAACAAAAUAACAGGGGAGCAA